Molecule: transfer RNA, 74 nt
Filed under: Gracilariopsis lemaneiformis
Lineage: Eukaryota; Rhodophyta; Florideophyceae; Gracilariales; Gracilariaceae
Also listed under: 1 other name
Description: tRNA-Val
Rfam family: tRNA
About the family: Transfer RNA (tRNA) molecules are approximately 80 nucleotides in length.
Source: RNAcentral
GAGCAAUUAACUCAAUUGGUAGAGUAUUUCGUUUACACCGAAAAGGUUAAUAGGUUCAAAUCCAUUAUUGCUCA